This 468-nucleotide ribosomal RNA is filed under the name uncultured bacterium. RNAcentral's name for it is "partial 16S ribosomal RNA". It matches the Rfam family "Bacterial small subunit ribosomal RNA", at positions 28 to 507 of the family's 1533-position model. The record is from RNAcentral.
GACGAACGCUGGCGGCGUGCUUAACACAUGCAAGUCGAACGGAAAGGCCCUGCUUUUGUGGGGUGCUCGAGUGGCGAACGGGUGAGUAACACGUGAGUAACCUGCCCUUGACUUUGGGAUAACUUCAGGAAACUGGGGCUAAUACCGGAUAGGAGCUCCUGCUGCAUGGUGGGGGUUGGAGAGUUCCGGCGGUUGGGGAUGGACUCGCGGCUUAUCAGCUUGUUGGUGGGGUAGUGGCUUACCAAGGCUUUGACGGGUAGCCGGCCUGAGAGGGUGACCGGCCACAUUGGGACUGAGAUACGGCCCAGACUCCUACGGGAGGCAGCAGUGGGGAAUAUUGCACAAUGGGCGGAAGCCUGAUGCAGCAACGCCGCGUGCGGGAUGACGGCCUUCGGGUUGUAAACCGCUUUCGCCUGUGACGAAGCGUGAGUGACGGUAAUGGGUAAAGAAGCACCGGCUAACUACGUG